Molecule: ribosomal RNA, 608 nt
Filed under: uncultured bacterium
Lineage: Bacteria
Description: bacterial SSU rRNA
Rfam family: Bacterial small subunit ribosomal RNA
Source: RNAcentral
AUGCAAGUCGAGGGGUAACGGAAGUAGCUUGCUACUAGACGACGACCGGCGCACGGGUGAGUAACGCGUAUGUAAUCUGCCUUGUACAGAGGGAUAGCCCAGAGAAAUUUGGAUUAAUACCUCAUAGUAUUACCGAAUCGCAUGAUUUGGUAAUUAAAGCUCCGGCGGUACAAGAUGAACAUGCGUGACAUUAGCUAGUUGGUAAGGUAACGGCUUACCAAGGCUACGAUGUCUAGGGGUUCUGAGAGGAUGAUCCCCCACACUGGUACUGAGACACGGACCAGACUCCUACGGGAGGCAGCAGUGAGGAAUAUUGGUCAAUGGACGCAAGUCUGAACCAGCCAUCCCGCGUGAAGGAUGACUGCCCUAUGGGUUGUAAACUUCUUUUAUAUGCAAAUAAACCUACUUUCGUGAAAGUAGCUGAAGGUAGCAUAUGAAUAAACACCGGCUAACUCCGUGCCAGCAGCCGCGGUAAUACGGAGGGUGUAAGCGUUAUCCGGAUUUAUUGGGUUUAAAGGGUACGUAGGCGGUAAUAUAAGUCAGUGGUGAAAUCCUGCAGCUCAACUGUAGAACUGCCAUUGAAACUGUAUUACUUGAGUAUACUUGAG